GGAUCCAGACUUUGAUUCUGGCUCAGGAUGAACGCUAGCUACAGGCUUAACACAUGCAAGUCGAGGGGCAGCGGGAUUGAAGCUUGCUUCAAUUGCCGGCGACCGGCGCACGGGUGAGUAACGCGUAUCCAAUCUUCCGUACACUCAGGGAUAGCCUUUCGAAAGAAAGAUUAAUACCUGAUAGUAUCUUAAGCACACAUGUAAUUAAGAUUAAAGAUUUAUCGGUGUACGAUGGGGAUGCGUUCCAUUAGGUAGUAGGCGGGGUAACGGCCCACCUAGCCAACGAUGGAUAGGGGUUCUGAGAGGAAGGUCCCCCACAUUGGAACUGAGACACGGUCCAAACUCCUACGGGAGGCAGCAGUGAGGAAUAUUGGUCAAUGGACGAGAGUCUGAACCAGCCAAGUAGCGUGAAGGAUGAAGGUCCUACGGAUUGUAAACUUCUUUUAUAAGGGAAUAAACCCUCCCACGUGUGGGAGCUUGUAUGUACCUUAUGAAUAAGCAUCGGCUAACUCCGUGCCAGCAGCCGCGGUAAUACGGAGGAUGCGAGCGUUAUCCGGAUUUAUUGGGUUUAAAGGGAGCGCAGACGGGUCGUUAAGUCAGCUGUGAAAGUUUGGGGCUCAACCUUAAAAUUGCAGUUGAUACUGGCGUCCUUGAGUGCGGUUGAGGUGUGCGGAAUUCGUGGUGUAGCGGUGAAAUGCUUAGAUAUCACGAAGAACUCCGAUUGCGAAGGCAGCACACUAAUCCGUAACUGACGUUCAUGCUCGAAAGUGUGGGUAUCAAACAGGAUUAGAUACCCUGGUAGUCCACACGGUAAACGAUGGAUACUCGCUGUUGGCGAUAUACUGUCAGCGGCUUAGCGAAAGCGUUAAGUAUCCCACCUGGGGAGUACGCCGGCAACGGUGCAACUCAAAG
This 912-nucleotide ribosomal RNA is filed under the name uncultured Bacteroidota bacterium. RNAcentral's name for it is "bacterial SSU rRNA". It matches the Rfam family "Bacterial small subunit ribosomal RNA", at positions 1 to 906 of the family's 1533-position model. Lineage: Bacteria; Pseudomonadati; Bacteroidota. The record is from RNAcentral.